AUUGAACGCUGGCGGCAUGCUUUACACAUGCAAGUCGGACGAGUGGCGAACGGGUGAGUAAUAUAUCGGAACGUACCGAGUCAUGGGGGCUAACUAAUCGAAAGCUUAGCUAAUACCGCAUAUUAUUCGAGCGGCCGAUAUCUGAUUAGCUAGUUGGUGGGGUAAAGGCCUACCAAGGCGACGAUCAGUAGCGGGUCUGAGAGGAUGAUGGUCCACACUGGGACUGAUACACGGCCCAGACUCCUACGGGAGGCAUCAGUGGGGAAUUUUAGACAAUGGGCGCAAGCCUGAUCCAGCCAUGCCGCGUGUCUGAAUAAGGCAUUCGGGUUGUAAAGGACUUUUGUCAGGGAAGCGGUACCUGAAGAAUAAGCACCGGCUAACUACGUGCCAGCAGCCGCGGUAAUAC
RNAcentral lists this ribosomal RNA (406 nucleotides) under uncultured bacterium. RNAcentral describes it as "partial 16S ribosomal RNA". It matches the Rfam family "Bacterial small subunit ribosomal RNA", at positions 30 to 526 of the family's 1533-position model. The record is from RNAcentral.